RNAcentral lists this long non-coding RNA (175 nucleotides) under Lonchura striata (white-rumped munia). RNAcentral describes it as "domestica (Bengalese finch) lncRNA (ENSLSDG00000004930.1)". The record is from RNAcentral. Lineage: Eukaryota; Metazoa; Chordata; Aves; Passeriformes; Estrildidae.
UGGCAGUGAGGGGAUGCUGCAGCACAGCCCGGACCACAACUGGAGCUGUGCCGUGCUGGUCUGUGACAGACGCCAACGCUCCGGCGAGCAGCGACAGCCUCGGGGAGAGCCGUGGAGCCCAUGUGAGUGCCAGGGCAGGGCGGGGGUGCCAGGGGAUCCCUGUGCCAGGGCAGGG